AAACUUAAAGGAAUUGACGGGGAGCACCACAACGGGUGGAGCUUUGCGGUUUAAUUGGAUUCAACGCCGGAAAUCUUACCGGGACCGACAGCAAUAUGAAGGCCAGGCUGAAGACUUUGCCGGAUUAGCUGAGAGGUGGUGCAUGGCCGUCGUCAGUUCGUACUGUGAAGCAUCCUGUUAAGUCAGGCAACGAGCGAGACCCACGCCCACAGUUGCCAGCGUACUCUCCGGAGUGACGGGUACACUGUGGGGACCGCCGCUGCUAAAGCGGAGGAAGGAAUGGGCAACGGUAGGUCAGUAUGCCCCGAAUAUCCCGGGCUACACGCGAGCUACAAUGGUUGGUACAAUGGGUAUCUACCCCGAAAGGGGACGGGAAUCUCCUAAAACCAAUCUUAGUUCGGAUUGAGGGCUGCAACUCGCCCUCAUGAAGCUGGAAUCCGUAGUAAUCGCGUUUCAACAGAACGCGGUGAAUACGUUCCCGGGCCUU
RNAcentral lists this ribosomal RNA (487 nucleotides) under uncultured Methanosaeta sp. RNAcentral's name for it is "bacterial SSU rRNA". It matches the Rfam family "Archaeal small subunit ribosomal RNA", at positions 852 to 1338 of the family's 1478-position model. Lineage: Archaea; Methanobacteriati; Methanobacteriota; Methanomicrobia; Methanotrichales; Methanotrichaceae. The record is from RNAcentral.